GAAGUUGUUUAUACUAAAUUGGUGCAAAAGUCAUUGUGGUUUUUGCCAUUUAAAAGUAUGGCAAAAGCAGCAAUGACUUUUGCACCAACCUAA
Molecule: microRNA precursor, 93 nt
Filed under: Chlorocebus sabaeus (green monkey)
Lineage: Eukaryota; Metazoa; Chordata; Mammalia; Primates; Cercopithecidae
Description: miRNA (ENSCSAG00000027751.1)
Source: RNAcentral